Molecule: ribosomal RNA, 333 nt
Filed under: unidentified eubacterium clone EH-8
Lineage: Bacteria; Pseudomonadati; Planctomycetota; Planctomycetia; Planctomycetales
Description: bacterial SSU rRNA
Rfam family: Bacterial small subunit ribosomal RNA
Source: RNAcentral
AACGUUGGCGGCAUGGAUUAGGCAUGCAAGUCGAGCGAGAAGCUUUAGUUUGACGCUUCGGUUGAUUUCUAAGGUGGAAAGCGGCGAAAGGGAGAGUAACGCGUAGUUACUUACCCCAGGGUCCGGAAUAGCUGCGGGAAACUGCAGGUAAUGCCGGAUAAUAUCUCCGGAUCAAAGGUGAGAUUCCGCCCUGGGAGGGGACUGCGUCCUACUAGCUUGUUGGUGGGGUAACGGCCUACCGAGGCUACGAUGGGUAGCGGGCGUGAGAGCGUGGCCCGUCUCACUGGGACUGAGACACUGCCCAGACACCUACGGGUGGCUGCAGUCGAGAAU